This 23-nucleotide transfer RNA is filed under the name Cambeva davisi. Its description in RNAcentral is "partial tRNA-Leu". Lineage: Eukaryota; Metazoa; Chordata; Actinopteri; Siluriformes; Trichomycteridae. The record is from RNAcentral. RNAcentral also lists the same sequence under 3 other names.
GCUUCUAAAGGAUAACAGCCCAU